GGAGUUGGGACUAAAAUGGUGUUUGGAGCUGGGACCCUCCUCAGAGUCCAAAGCGCUGAGGACGUGGAGCCGAAUUUCUACCAACUGGAGAAGGACAACACUCAGCUCUGUCUCGCCACCGGCUUCAGCAGACGCAAGAAACUCAAUGAGACUUAUCCCUUCAACGAAACUGAAGCAACCUUCAUCGACCGAGAGAACACUGACCCUGAAACCAAAGGCCUCUACAGCCAGGUGGCCUUCAUGAAACCUGGAGAUAAGGAGGAAUACUGUCAAGAGACGAUCGGUGGUUUUGUGGAAACUCUUCAGCCCGACCCUGUGGUGAACCUGGUUUCUUUGACGGUUCUCGGACUCAGAAUUCUCUUCGUCAAAACCGUCGCCAUCAACAUCCUGCUCACGCUGCGCCUCUUUAUCAGCCGCUAAAAUGUGUGACGGCUUCAGGAUCGUUCGUCUUCUUCACUUUCAAAUACGAUUCUCCAAAACUCUGACUCUGUUUAAACGGACACCAGAAAUCUGAUCAUAAUCCGAUCUCCGGAGUAAUCAGAUUACCGAUCCAUCUGACCUGAGUGAUCUGAUUUCUGUCUGAUCGUUCACUCGUGUGCAGGUCUGGACGAGGAAAAUCAAAACCAAAAAUGCUAAUUGUUGAUCCAAAAAUUUGAAAAAAAUGUGAAAGAUUAAAAGAGUUAUUCUAAAUUAAAUUGUACUUUCUACACACCAAAAUCAGAUUUCAUUAUGGGGUUAUCUGAUUACUCUGGAGAUCGGAUUUGGACCGGCUUUGAUGAACCGUUAUGUGAUUAUUCUGUGUUUAUAUUGUUCAAGUGUAAUUUACUGUUUUAAAUCCUUCUGUAAAAAUGUGACUAAAGAUGAAAAAAAAAGAACAGAUGCAGAUUUUUUAUGGAUUUUGAUGUAUUUUAUAAUCUUUAUUUUGUUAUAAUUUUGUUUCAUAUAUUUUCAUGUAUUUUCUAUUUUUAAAAUCAAAAUAAAAUCUUAUAUUGAAAUAUUAAAA
Non-coding RNA from Boleophthalmus pectinirostris (great blue-spotted mudskipper), 1003 nucleotides. The record is from the annotation of a RefSeq genome assembly. NCBI's taxonomy places the organism in Eukaryota, Metazoa, Chordata, Actinopteri, Gobiiformes, Gobiidae.